RNAcentral lists this non-coding RNA (997 nucleotides) under Pongo abelii (Sumatran orangutan). Lineage: Eukaryota; Metazoa; Chordata; Mammalia; Primates; Hominidae. The record is from RNAcentral.
AUUGUGAUGAGGGUGAUGAUCCAGCAGUCCCAAUGUGCUAGGUCCCGGGCUGGGAUCCAUGUCGUCCUUACAACAAUUCAGCAAGAAACAUAUUAUUCGAUCCAUUCACUGAAGAGGAAACUGAAAUCACUCAGAGAGGAGGAGUGAUUCAGCCCCAAAUUCCAAAGUGGUAGAAGUGGACUUGGGCUCAGCUUCCCUAGUGUCUUAGCUACUCCCCCAUCUAACUGUUCAUUCCUGGGACAGGUGAGUCAUUCUGCCUGAACUUCCACAGUUAGACUGAGACAUAAAAUGCUAAUCUACCUGGAAAGACAGGGGUAUAUGUCAGAGCCAUUCUUCAAGAUCAGAUGACCUGUUAAGUCCAAGGACUCAUCUGAACCAUCAGUCACUCUCUGGCCCAGAGAGGUGGUGUUGUUUGCCAAGGACACACAGCAGGUGGCCAAGAUGGAGCCAAGCCAUUUUCCCCACUGCAGGGCUCAUGGUUUCGACUUUGUUGGUUCUCUAGCAGGACGCGGGUGUCCUCAAGGUCACAGGCUCAGCUAAUACCUCGAUCACCCACAGUGGAGGUGAGAGCCUGCCCGCUCUCUAACACUUCUGUGGCCCAGACUAUCCCCACAUCUUACCUUUUGCUCCAGCUCUUUCCUGGCUGUCAGUUCCGAGUCCAGCCUCUCCUCGCAUUGCUGCAGACGCUUUCUGAGGAACUCGUUCUCCAUCUGAGCACAGUCGAAGCGCAUUUGCCACUCGUCUGCUGUUUAACGGAGUCAGGGAGACCAGGAUAAAAGACCAAAUGAGUACCCCUGAUCUCCAUAAGUGUCCCUGACAUUUCAAGGGCACAAAUUCUCUGGACACACGGAGGGAAUAAUGCUGACAUUUUAUAGAAGCUGACCCACUGGAUAUCCUUCUCACCCAACUCCAUUAGGCUAGGGAGAGUAAGAGGCAUGGUGACAAGGUGGCAAAGAUGUCACCAUGCCAUCCAAUCACGAGGUCUCCAGGAAACUGU